RNAcentral lists this transfer RNA (113 nucleotides) under Bradyrhizobium brasilense. RNAcentral describes it as "tRNA-OTHER". It matches the Rfam family "tRNA". From Rfam's summary of the family: Transfer RNA (tRNA) molecules are approximately 80 nucleotides in length. Their secondary structure includes four short double-helical elements and three loops (D, anti-codon, and T loops). The record is from RNAcentral. Lineage: Bacteria; Pseudomonadati; Pseudomonadota; Alphaproteobacteria; Hyphomicrobiales; Nitrobacteraceae.
GCGGAUGUGGUGAAACUGGUAGACGCGCCGUCUUGCCAAAGGGCCUCUUCAGAGACCCUUUCCAAGACGGUGGCCCAAAAGCCGUGAGGGUUCGAAUCCCUUCAUCCGCACCA